GAUGAACGCUGGCGGCGUGCCUAGUACAUGCAAGUCGAGCGAACGGACGAGAAGCUUGCUUCUCUGAUGUUAGCGGCGGACGGGUGAGUAACACGUGGAUAACCUACCUAUAAGACUGGGAUAACUUCGGGAAACCGGAGCUAAUACCGGAUAAUAUUUUGAACCGCAUGGUUCAAAAGUGAAAGACGGUCUUGCUGUCACUUAUAGAUGGAUCCGCGCUGCAUUAGCUAGUUGGUAAGGUAACGGCUUACCAAGGCAACGAUGCAUAGCCGACCUGAGAGGGUGAUCGGCCACCCUGGAACUGAGACACGGUCCAGACUCCGACGGGAGGCAGCAGUAGGGAAUCUUCCGCAAUGGGCGAAAGCCUGACGGAGCAACGCCGCGUGAGUGAUGAAGGUCUUCGGAUCGUAAAACUCUGUUAUUAGGGAAGAACAUAUGUGUAAGUAACUGUGCACAUCUUGACGGUACCUAAUCAGAAAGCCACGGCUAACUACGUG
This 497-nucleotide ribosomal RNA is filed under the name uncultured bacterium. Its description in RNAcentral is "partial 16S ribosomal RNA". It matches the Rfam family "Bacterial small subunit ribosomal RNA", at positions 28 to 507 of the family's 1533-position model. The record is from RNAcentral.